UACGUAGGCAGCAAGCGUUGUUCGGAGUUACUGGGCGUAAAGGGUGUGUAGGCGGUUGUUUAAGUUUGGUGUGAAAUCUCCCGGCUCAACUGGGAGGGUGCGCCGAAUACUGAAUGACUAGAGUGCGGGAGAGGAAAGUGGAAUUCCUGGUGUAGCGGUGAAAUGCGUAGAUAUCAGGAAGAACACCCGUGGCUAAGGCGGCUCUCUAGUACGGUACUGACGCUGAGACGCGAAAGCGUGGGGAGCGAACAGG
Molecule: ribosomal RNA, 253 nt
Filed under: uncultured bacterium
Lineage: Bacteria
Description: partial 16S ribosomal RNA
Rfam family: Bacterial small subunit ribosomal RNA
Source: RNAcentral